Jatropha curcas is the source of this 71-nucleotide non-coding RNA. The record is from Rfam. NCBI's taxonomy places the organism in Eukaryota, Viridiplantae, Streptophyta, Magnoliopsida, Malpighiales, Euphorbiaceae.
UUCUUAUUAGCUUAAUGGUAAAGCAGAAUACUUCUAAUAUUCCGAUCCAGGUUCAAGUCCUGAAUAAGAAU